GGUGCCACUGGGACACUAUGGGAUUCUGUGUGCUGUUGAAUCUGAUCAUAUCUACAAUUAAUGGCUACUUGAUCAAAACUAAUGAAAACCUCUCUUGCCUACCGUUUCAGCUGGGCAUGGUUGCAGCAAGGCCAUGUGAAGACACCAGGGCUUACUCUAAGAUUUUUUGGAGAAUUAUAGAGUUCUAUUUUUGGCUCAGAGGGAACAAAAAUAUUCCUCUGGAGACUGUGGACUGAGUGGAGAACUUCACCUGAGGCUUUGCUUGAGUUUUCAAGUGCCGUAAGGAGCCAGAGGAAGAAGAUUCCUCCUGAAAGAUGUGAAAAAUGAGGCUUAAGCAGUUACAUCAAUUUCUCAAGAUUACACAGCCAGUGUAUAAUUCAGGAGGAACGGGAAAUUGAAGGAUAAGUAGAAUUUCAACAGGUAAAGAUGGAAAAGGGACCUUCUAAGAGGAGGGUCACCAUUCAAAGCCCUUCAGAGUGAUGAUAAAGUAUAAGCCUUAUAUUAGAAAGGUUAUAAACCUUUCUAGUUGCUAGAGUGUUGCAAACCCCACAAAAGUGUACCAUAAGAAUGAAUGUACUGUCAGAUAUAUGGUGAUGGAAGGAGAACUGACUCUGGGUGGUGAACACACAAUGUGAU
Molecule: long non-coding RNA, 636 nt
Organism: Hipposideros armiger (great roundleaf bat)
Lineage: Eukaryota; Metazoa; Chordata; Mammalia; Chiroptera; Hipposideridae
Exons: 4
Source: RefSeq, a predicted model, not a curated record